GUGAAUCAUCGAAUUUUUGAACGCAAAUUGCGCCUUUUUCGGAAGGCAUGGCUGUUUGAGGGCACCAUUUAACAAAUAAUGUGCAUUUCGUGUGCACACGUUGAUGAGCUUUCCGAAUUUAUGUAUUAUUUUUUGUCGCGCAUAAUAAACAGCGCGAUGCUUUUUUUCAGUUCGGGUGUAGUAAAAUUUUUUCUUGCUUGGGUUGUGAAAAGUGUGAUCGCGCAAUGUGUGCGGCAAUUUUAGAUAAUCCCUGCCCUAACUCCACUCGUUCUCGCAAAA
RNAcentral lists this unclassified non-coding RNA (279 nucleotides) under Paraglomerales sp. RNAcentral's name for it is "partial contains 5.8S ribosomal RNA and internal transcribed spacer 2". The stretch from base 1 to 65 matches the Rfam family "5.8S ribosomal RNA", at positions 84 to 154 of the family's 154-position model. The record is from RNAcentral. Lineage: Eukaryota; Fungi; Glomeromycota; Glomeromycetes; Paraglomerales.